This 424-nucleotide ribosomal RNA is filed under the name uncultured prokaryote. RNAcentral's name for it is "bacterial SSU rRNA". It matches the Rfam family "Bacterial small subunit ribosomal RNA", at positions 355 to 796 of the family's 1533-position model. The record is from RNAcentral.
UGGGGAAUAUUGGACAAUGGGCGCAAGCCUGAUCCAGCCAUGCCGCGUGGAUGAAGAAGGCCCUAGGGUUGUAAAGUCCUUUCACCGCCGAGGAUAAUGACGGUAGGCGGNGAAGAAGCCCCGGCUAAUUUCGUGCCAGCAGCCGCGGUAAUACGAAAGGGGCUAGCGUUGUUCGGAAUAACUGGGCGUAAAGCGCGCGUAGGGGGCCUAUCAAGUUGGGGGUGAAAUCCCGGAGCUCAACUCCGGAACUGCCUCCAAAACUGAUAAGCUCGAGGUUGUGAGAGGAUAGUGGAAUUCCGAGUGUAGAGGUGAAAUUCGUAGAUAUUCGGAAGAACACCAGUGGCGAAGGCGACUGUCUGGCACAUUUCUGACGCUGAGNCGCGNAAGCGUGGGGAGCAAACAGGAUUAGAUACCCCGGUAGUCC